GGAGUUGAACAAGAAGAAGAAGAAAAAAAGUUUGAGAAGAAGAAGAGGAAGACAGGGGUGGAGCCCUGUAUCUGGCAGCUCUCCGCCACAGUCGCUAACAUGUGGAUCAUAUAUGUGAUAGGUUUUGUCGACCUAAAAGUCUGCCGGCUCAGUCUUCAACUGUUUCUCAUAGGAAGUAGGGUGCGAUAUAUGGUGAGCAUGCGUACGUGUAAUUAAGCGAGGAUCGUGUUUGUACCGUAUUUCGUAUGGAAAAAACAUCAUAAAAAGGUACAUUAAACAAUUUGGGUAGGUCAGGAGCAGGAGGUAGAAUACCUGAUUUGCUCGGCGAUGGAGUACGUAGACGAACCACAACAGUCCGAGGUUGAAGAUGACCCAAAGAUUGAAUCGUGUUUGACGACCUGACCAGCAAGCAGCUUUUAGCCUGUCACUGCGCCAGCAAAUUGAAGUUAGCCGCGUUUCAACAAAAACACUGAUAACAUAAGCCUAGCUAGGCCAGCCUUGACGCUCGAUCGAUCAUCUUUCACGAGUCAACGG
RNAcentral lists this long non-coding RNA (534 nucleotides) under Setaria viridis. RNAcentral describes it as "long non-coding RNA (SVIR_LNC004476)". Lineage: Eukaryota; Viridiplantae; Streptophyta; Magnoliopsida; Poales; Poaceae. The record is from RNAcentral.